Molecule: RNase P RNA, 449 nt
Filed under: Bacillota bacterium
Lineage: Bacteria; Bacillati; Bacillota
Description: RNase P RNA component class A
Rfam family: Bacterial RNase P class A
About the family: Ribonuclease P (RNase P) is a ubiquitous endoribonuclease, found in archaea, bacteria and eukarya as well as chloroplasts and mitochondria. Its best characterised activity is the generation of mature 5'-ends of tRNAs by cleaving the 5'-leader elements of precursor-tRNAs. Cellular RNase Ps are ribonucleoproteins.
Source: RNAcentral
CAAGCAGUCUGGAUGAUCGCGCGCACCGGGAGCCGAAAGGCGGUGCGUGAGGAAAGUCCGGGCUCCGCAGGGCAGGGUGCUGGGUAACACCCAGUGGGGGCGACCCCAAGGAAAGUGCCACAGAAAUGGAAACCGCCCCGCACUCACCGGAACGAAGAAGCCUAAAUAAAAUUCCGCUGCUGAUAGAUGUUGUUAAACCUUUAAGCCUCUGCGCUCCGGUGAGUGCGGGGCAAGGGUGGAACGGUGCGGUAAGAGCGCACCAGCGGCCAGGCGACUGGCCGGCUAGGUAAACCCCACCUGGAGCAAGACCGAAUAGGGAGGCAAGGGAGUGGCCCGCUCCGCCUCCGGGUAGGUCGCUGGAGGCCCCAGGCAACUGGCGGCCCAAGAGAGAUGAUCAUCGCCUUCGGUUUUCGAAGGAACAGAACCCGGCUUACAGGACUGCUUGCUGA